Molecule: ribosomal RNA, 460 nt
Filed under: uncultured bacterium
Lineage: Bacteria
Description: partial 16S ribosomal RNA
Rfam family: Bacterial small subunit ribosomal RNA
Source: RNAcentral
CCUACGGGUGGCAGCAGUGAGGAAUAUUGGUCAAUGGACGAGAGUCUGAACCAGCCAAGUAGCGUGAAGGAUGAAUGCCCUCGGGGUUGUAAACUUCUUUUAUAUGGGAAUAAAAUGUUCCACGUGUGGGAUUUUGUAUGUACCAUAUGAAUACGGAUCGGCUAACUCCGUGCCAGCAGCCGCGGUAAUACGGAGGAUCCGAGCGUUAUUCGGAUUUAUUGGGUUUAAAGGGAGCGUAGGUGGAUUGUUAAGUCAGUUGUGAAAGUGUGCGGCUCAACCGUAAAAUUGCAGUUGAAACUGGCAGUCUGGAGUACAGUAGAGGUGGGCGGAAUUCGUGGUGUAGCGGUGAAAUGCUUAGAUAUCAGGAAGAACUCCGAUUGCGAAGGCAGUUCACUGGACUGCAACUGACACUGAGGCUCGAAAGUGUGGGUAGCAAACAGGAUUAGAUACCCCUGUAGUC